UAUUUUUACACACAAAACUUUUGUGUAAGUCUUACAAUUUUUCAAUUUUUAGCCUUAAUCACUACAACAAAAACGGUCUAUAGCGACACAUUUAAAUAUAGAUACAUGUCAAAAUAGUGCUGCUAGCUAAAAUUACCGACAUUUUUAAAAAGUGUUACUAUAUAUCGGGUCGCUAGGUAUAUAGUGACAGUUAAAGAAUGUCGCUAUAACAUAAAAGAGUGUUGCUAAUUUACCAACACUUAUUUAAGCAUUUAGCAACCGCCGAAACUCUAUCUUGUUGGCUACGGUGGCGGAGAAGGACGACAGUAAAGGCUCUUCGUCUAGAAUUUCAGUGGAUUGAGUGAACAGAGAAGAAAAGAUGGUAAUUGAUUUUUCUUUUUUUUUUCUUUUGUAAUCGGGCCAAAUGGACUGGGUGUGGUGGGUUGAGUAGAGUAAUCUUUUAUUUUUGGUUGGAUUGAGCUUUAUAUUUAGACAUUAGUAGAUGUGUUUUUAAGUUUUAUCAUAAAUGGGACACUUACUCAAAAGUGUUCCAAAUAUGUGUCCCUAUAAUCUAAUUCUGUUGUAGUGAAUUAGGAAAAAUAGAUGUGUGAUAAGGUAAGCCAAUAAAAAAUG
RNAcentral lists this long non-coding RNA (612 nucleotides) under Ananas comosus (pineapple). RNAcentral describes it as "long non-coding RNA (ACOM_LNC030040)". The record is from RNAcentral. Lineage: Eukaryota; Viridiplantae; Streptophyta; Magnoliopsida; Poales; Bromeliaceae.